Molecule: RNA transcript, 4137 nt
Organism: Microplitis demolitor
Lineage: Eukaryota; Metazoa; Arthropoda; Insecta; Hymenoptera; Braconidae
Exons: 26
Source: RefSeq, a predicted model, not a curated record
AUGUCAGAAAAACAUACGGAAAUAUUUGCUUCCAUGUGUCCAGAUGAAAUCCUGGACCACUAUAAUGAUUAUAAUAUCAGAGAAUAUUACACGACAUUGAUGCUGGGAGAUAUAUCAGGGUUUACGGAGUUGACAGAAAAAUAUACAACGUCUGGAAAAAGUGGACCAUCAAAAUUAACAGAGACACUUAAUAGUUACAUUGGACCAAUAGUCCAGGAAAUUUUAUCCCACCAUGGAGAUGUUUUGAAAUUUUCAGGCGAUGCAUUUAUUGUCAUGUGGAAGCUACAGGAAGGAAUGGUAAUGCGAGAUCUCGCAACAAAGGCUAUGCAAACAGCCUGUAUUGUUCAAAAACACUUUGGAACUUAUGUUACUGAUAUAGGUGUCACUUUGAAAGUAAAACUAGCCAUAGCUUCUGGAAAAAUAUGUUUUACAUCAAUUGGCGAUCCACAACAAAUGUCUCAUUAUAUUAUUACUGGUAAACCUGUGUGGGAUGUAAAACAUGCUGAGACUCUUUGCAGGGGAGGUGAUAUUUUGGUAGCUCCAAGUAGCUGGCAAUGGGCUAAUCCAAGUGAUUAUGUUUUUAAAAUUCUUCCUGACAGACAUACAUUAAUUUUAGCAAGUGCAACAAUGUGGGACCAUUCUAAAGAUGAUUAUAAAGAUAACGAAUCAUCGGCAUCUUCUAUAAAUAGUGAUGAAACUAAUUCUACAACAAUUGCAGUAGAUGAUAACUUUAUUUAUAAUGAAGAUUCUGCUACUGCUAUUAAGUUUGAAGAUCAUAUUAAAAAUGGUGGAUUUAAAUCAACUAUCGAUUACAGUCUGAGGCCAAAAGUAGUUAAUGUGACAAAGCAGCAUUUAAAAAAUGAGCUGAGAAGCUACAUGCUUAAACCAGUAGUACGUUCUGUCGAACUUGAUGAGCCACUUGAACAUAUUGCUGAAAUUCGUCAAGUUGUCAUUGUUUUUAUAAAUGUUGUUACCGAUAGUAAUAUUAAAAAAAAGGCAUUAAUUUACAUUGUUAACAAAGCAUUCAAACGUGUUUGUGGGAUUGUUGAUAAACUUCAAGGAUGUGUAAACAAAGUAUCGUUAUUUGAUAAAGACCUUAUGUUUCUAUGUAUUUUUGGUCUCAGAGGUGGUAAACAAGAGCUGGAAGCCCAGAUAGGACUUCGUUGUGCUUCAAAAUUAAAGAGAGCACUGAGUGCUAUUGAAAAUAUCGAUUCUGUAACUAUUGGAGUAUCAACUGGUAUGACUUAUUGCGGUGUUGUUGGACAUACUUUGAGACGAGAGUAUACUGUUAUUGGAAUGCCAGUUAAUAAAGCUGCUAGACUUAUGGUUGCUUAUGUUAAUAAAGUUGUCUGUGACAGAGAAAGUUUUCUUUACUCACGUCUUGAAUCAGGACAUUUUAUUCUUCAGGAAGCUAAAUACUUGAAAGGAAUUUCAAAUGUCGGUCCUAUAUAUGAAUUUCUUGAACAAGUCCAAAUUCAAGAUUCAGAAAUGACAGCAGCAACUUAUCCAUUGCUAGGCCGAACACCUCAAUUAAUAUUAUUCAAAUCAUUAUUUGCUGAAGCUCAAAUUCGUGUUUAAUUUUUAAGGGGUGAGCCACGAAUCGGAAGAACUCGAUUGCUCGAUGAAAUAUCAAAAAUUAUUCCGAAAAAUAUCGCCUGCAAUUAUAUAACUCUUACAGACAAUGAUCUAGAAUUGGUUCUUGAAUGCUUUAAAGAAUUAUGGGCGAUUUUAGUCGAUGACGCAGAAUAUAUUGACAAAGAAUCUCUUACUUUGAUACCGACAAUUGUUGAUCAAGAAAGAAUUUUUUUUGUCUUUGGUCUCAAUGACGAUGAAAAAAAAUUAAUUGGAAUAUUAGAGAAGAAAUCUAAAGUAAUAAAUCUUCAAGGUUUAGAUAAAUGGUAUCAUGCUGGAUUAGUUUGUCAAUUUUUGAGAGUCGUUGCUAUUCCUCCAGAGUUAGAAAAAGUAAUUCAAGAAAAAAGUAUGGGGAAUCCAGGAUGGAUUGAAAAUUAUCUCGUAAGUUUAAUGCAAGUUGGUGGUAUUGAAAUUAAAAAAGUUUCAAGAGAAAUGCUUAAAAAAAUGGAUCUAGUUACGCCACCACUGAAGAUGAUUAACACAAAAUUUUCAUCAGACUCUGAUGCAGAAGAAAUAGAAAAGGAAGAAACUUUAACACGAAAAGACGGCUGGCGGAUGUAUGAAAAUAGUUAUGAGGAAAAUGUUUCGAUACUAGAUGAGGAAAAAACAGCUAUAGAAGAAAAAGGUGUCUGCAUUUGUACGAUUAGGAAAAAUUUUCAACUCGAAGAUGUUGUCGCCGAACUUGCAACAGAUGUUUUGUUUCUUAAACUUUUUGAUUCUUUGAAACCAAUGGAUCAAAUUUUAUUAAAAUGUGCUGCGGUAUUAGGAGAAACUAUCAACAGAAGUUUACUGGAAAAAUUGAUGCAGCGAACUUCUAUUCGAGAUAUUGCUUUGUUAAUAAAUCUCUUUGAAAAAAGAAUACUUGGUUGUGCAGCUGGGGAUUUCAGUAGAAGUAUGGGACCAAGAAUAUCUACUAAAAAAUUAAGAAACAUAUAUGAUAAUAUAAAAAUAAAAUGUGGAUGUACAAAUGUUAAAAUACGAGAACCACUUUCUGAUCUCCCUAAAUAUGCAUCUUGUACUUUGUUACGAUUCAAAAUUAGUGAGUCUCGCGAAACAACUUAUAGAUUAUUAACUGAGAAUCAAAAGAUUGAAUUUCAUAAAAAAGCUUUGAGAUAUUUGGCAAAUAAUACGAAAAAAUGUAAAUCUUGUGGCAGUAAAUUUUUUAAUAAAUUAUUAGAGUCUCAUCACGAAAAAACGGAUAUAAUACCUCAGACAUAUUCUAAUUUAAAUUUUACUAACUGCCAAUGUAAUUUAAUUCUCAUUACUACAUACUCACAAAUUUUGGAUCAUUGCAUAGGAAUUGAUCGUAAAGACAAAGUAUUAAUAUCAAUGUUAGAAUUUGCAACGGUACUUUUGGCAACUUACAACGUACCAAAAGCCAAAACACUAUUGAAUGAUGCAGAUGAUAUUUUGAACCGGAUAUUCAAAGCACGCGACGAUGAAUUAGUUACCGUCCCUUUUUUAAAAGGAAGAAUAAAAACACUCAAAGCAAAGUGUGAUUUACAAAUCGGGCAAAUUAACGAGGCGGAAAAUAAUUUAAAAGAAGCGAUACGAAGUAUGGGAUACUGGUGGCCUAAAAGUAAUUCGGUAAUUAAAUUAAGAACAAAAUUUUAUUUUCAACAACUCAAGUUCAUGAUGUCAUAUCAAAAAAAUGAUAUGAUUGAUAAAUAUGAUGACGAUGCUACUGAAUAUAAUGAUCAGCUUUCAAAAUGUCUAUCUGAAUUAUUUACUGUCUUUCAGAUUGAAGGAUUGUAUGAAAAUGCUCAACUUGCAGCAGUUUGGAGUUUGCAUUCUGCUUUGGAAUCAAAAAAAUAUUUAAUUACACUUUGUACCGCUUUUGCAAAUAUGAUAACUAUCGGACAUACAUUUAAUAACGAAACAUUUGUAACGAAUAUAGAAAAUGAUGGAAUAAAAUUUUGUGAUAAUAAAAAUACUGAUCUUACAGAACAAGAAUUAAAGUCGAUAGUCAAGUUAUAUACGAGUAUUUUUUGUUCCCGUUUAUUGAAAAAUAAAAUUAAAAAAAUUUUCGAUUUAGGACUGAUAGUUUUUCAGUUGGCUAAAAAUACUACAGAAAAUGAAUCAAAUCGGAUGCUGUACUACACGAUUUGUUUGUCUUUCCUAUUAGAAACUGGAAUAAUAUUAGUAUCUUUAAAAAAUUGUGAAGAAUAUUAUCAAGAAGAAGGUCAAAUAAUUGUCGAACCCAAAGAUGUUGGGGUUAAAGAAAAAUUUUACUCUUCUAUGUGGCUUUGGUAUUUAAGAAUGGAAGAGUGGGAAUCCGCAUUAAUUUGGAACCUGAAAAUAAGAAAUCUCGAUUCGAUUAAAAUAAUAACAAUAAAUGAGUCGUUUACUGCCGUAAUCCAACUCGAAUGUCUUCUCCUGUCGUACGUUCAUAAUCUCGAUCGGAGAAACUUUGACGCUGUUCAGACGAUUUUAGCAGACGUUAAAAAACGAUUUAAAAUACUCGAACGAAUAACAAAAGUUGCUAAAUUUAUUUUGUCACGGUAA